UCUUCGGAUCUAGUGGCGGACGGGUUAGUAACGCGUGGGAACGUACCCUUCACUACGGAAUAGUCCCGGGAAACUGGGUUUAAUACCGUAUACGCCCUUCGGGGGAAAGAAUUUCGGUGAGGGAUCGGCCCGCGUUAGAUUAGUUAGUUGGUGGGGUAAUGGCCUACCAAGACUACGAUCUAUAGCUGGUUUGAGAGGAUGAUCAGCAACACUGGGACUGAGACACGGCCCAGACUCCUACGGGAGGCAGCAGUGGGGAAUCUUAGACAAUGGGGGCAACCCUGAUCUAGCGAUGCCGCGUGAGUGAUGAAGGCCUUAGGGUCGUAAAGCUCUUUCGCCUGUGAUGAUAAUGACAGUAGCAGGUAAAGAAACCCCGGCUAACUCCGUGCCAGCAGCCGCGGUAAUACGGAGGGGGUUAGCGUUGUUCGGAAUUACUGGGCGUAAAGCGCACGUAGGCGGAUUAGUCAGUCAGAGGUGAAAUCCCAGGGCUCAACCCUGGAACUGCCUUUGAUACUGCUAGUCUUGAGUUCGAGAGAGGUAAGUGGAAUUCCGAGUGUAGAGGUGAAAUUCGUAGAUAUUCGGAGGAACACCAGUGGCGAAGGCGGCUUACUGGCUCGAUACUGACGCUGAGGUGCGAAAGUGUGGGGAGCAAACAGGAUUAGAUACCCUGGUAGUCCACACCGUAUACGAUGAAUGCCAGUCGUCGGGUAGCAUGCUAUUCGGUGACACACCUAAAGGAUUAAGCAUUCCGCCUGGGGAGUACG
RNAcentral lists this ribosomal RNA (764 nucleotides) under Celeribacter sp. RNAcentral's name for it is "bacterial SSU rRNA". It matches the Rfam family "Bacterial small subunit ribosomal RNA", at positions 83 to 884 of the family's 1533-position model. Lineage: Bacteria; Pseudomonadati; Pseudomonadota; Alphaproteobacteria; Rhodobacterales; Roseobacteraceae. The record is from RNAcentral.